GGAAGUGAAGCCCCUCUAGCAUCAUCAUAUAAGAUUUGAGCUAAUUCUCUAAUUGGUUGAUCAAUACAUCUGUAUUCCAAGCCAAUCUUCAAACUAUGUUUAGACAUUCAAUCAGCAGCCCUAUUUCUUUCUCUAUAUGUGUGGGUACAUCUUAACUGCCAAUCUCUUCUCAUUAACUCCUCAAUACUUCUGAUUAAAGGAUUAGGAUGAUCUUUUCUCCCUUCUUCUUUGUGAAGUACCUCCAAAGCUGAUUGGAAAUCUAUUUCUAAAAUCACUUUUCUAAACCUCAAAUCCCAGGCAAUUCGAAGUCCUUGGAGAGCUCUCCACAGUUCAGCUUGGAAUGCUGAGCAUCUUUCGAUAUUCAUUUGAAACCCUGCCACCCAUCGGCCCAAUUCAUCUAUGCACACUCCUCUACAACCAGCUUCUCCUUCACCUUCCACUGCUGCCCCAUCUGUAUUGACUUUAAUCUAGCCAGUCGGAGGUGGGAUCCAGGUGAUAUGUUCCUCGCUCUUGUUUCGGCCACCAACAGGUUGUGAUGAAGAUGGAUUGCCAACAUUCUUGUUUUUGGGCGUCCAGAUUAGAUGAAAGAUUCCACCUUAUCCAGAGAUCGAAGGGAGCUCUGAAAAAAUUUUGGAGAUGCGACGGAUGAAUUAGUUUAACCCAGACUCUUGAAGCUACUCCACAAUCGCGAAGUACAUGAGCAAGGGUCUCCUGUGUGCCAUUACAUCUAUGACAAUCAGGUACAGUGCCAAGAAACUUACUCCUUUUGCUAGCUGUUAAGAGCUUUUUAUGAACUGUUUGCCAAAGAAAUGUCUUCAACUUUUGGGGUUCUUGCCAUGUCCAUAUAAUACUCCACACUAUAUUAGUAUGUUUUAGUUUAUAUUAGAUGACAUUAUGAAAUUGUUAUGGACUCACACGGUCCAACCCGAUUAUCCGGCGGGUUGGGAACACCGCCUCCGACUCGAGCCCGAACCAUCAUAACAGAAAAACUCGACGGGUCGGUUCCCCGCGCCCCACCUGAAGUACGCGCAAUUUGUCACGGCAUGGCUCAAGUGAUCGCGCCCAGUAAACUGGUCGUGUCGGUAUCCUCGGAACAGCACCCGAAGCCCCGAUCCGAAGUCCAGAACGACCUGCUCCCCCCACGUGGACUAGGACAGCUCACGGAAGCUUCUUGGCCAGUGGACUAGGUCAUUUAUGGUCCCGCCCAGCACAGUAUAUAAGGGGAGAGGUCAGCUCUCCCCCCGAGGUUGCCACCCCCUCGUCCAUUCCACCUCCGACGUCACCAACUCCCAGUUCACACCUCUGCAUCUACUCCAGGUCAACCCAGGGUCUCACCUACUCACCCAUCCAUCACCACCCGACCCGUCGAGUACCCAAGAUCUUCAAGUAACGAACAUUGGCGCCAUCUGUGAGGACCCUGGAGCAGACAUGGAGCGACUCCCCACGUCAGUGGAGCUUCGCGAAGGAGGCGGGGCCCACCUGAGCAGGGCAAGUUUGACAGCUCGCGCCGGCGAACAGCCACGAUCCUCCGUUCAGCCAAACCAACCAAUCUACACUAAAACUCCCGAAAGAUGUCCCUUCGGAGGAAUGGGAGCUGACAGCACCAAGAUCAUGUAAGAGCUCAGACACAGAGUACAAAACCUUGAAAGGGAGCUGGCAGCAAGGAGCCGAUCCCACGGCGACAUUGAUGAGCGGAUAAUUUGUACACUUUUUGGCAUUGUUUUUAGUAUCUUUUAGUUAGUUUUUAGUAUAUUUUUAUUAGUUUUUAGUUAAAAUUCACUUUUCUGGACUUUACUAUGAGUUUGUGUGUUUUUCUGUGAUUUCAGGUAUUUUCUGACUGAAAUUGAAGGUUCUGAGCAAAAAUCUGAUUCAGAGACUGAAAAGGACUGCAUAUGCUGUUGGAUUCUGACCUCCCUUCACUCGAAGUGGAUUUUCUGGAGCUACAGAAGCCCAAUUGGCGCGCUCUCAACGGCGUUGGAAAGUAGACAUCCUGGACUUUCCAGCAAUAUAUGAUAGUCCAUACUUUUCCCAAGAUUUGAUGGCCCAAACCGGCGUGGCAAAUCAGCCUCAGAAAUUCCAGCGUUUAACGCUGGAACUGGCAUAAAACUUGGAGUUAAACGCCCAAACUGGCAUGAAAGCUGGCGUUUAACUCCAGAAAAGGUCUCCACACGAAAAUGCUUCAUUGCUCAGCCCAAGCACACACCAAGUGGGCCCGGAAGUGGAUUUUUCUGUCAUUUACUCAUUUCUGUAAACCUUAGGAUACUAGUUUACUAUUAAUAGGACCUUUUGACAUUGUAUCUGUACCUCAUGACACUUUACACGUUUCUUUGUGUACCUUUCACGGCAUGAGUCUCUAAACCCCAUGGUUGGGGGUGAGGAGCUCUGCUGUGUCUUGAUGGAUUAAUGCAAUUACUACUGUUUCUUAUUCAAUCAUGCUUGCUUUUAUUCUAAGAUAUCACUUGCUCUUAACCCGAAUGAAUGUGAUGAUCCGUGACACUCAUCAUCAUUCUCAACUAUGAACAUGUGCCUGACAACCACCCCUGUUCUACUUUAGAUUGAGUAGAUAUCUCUUGGAUUCCUUAACCAGAAUCUUCGUGGUAUAAGCUAGAACUGAUGGCGGCAUUCAAGAGAAUCCGGAAGGUCUAAACCUUGUCUGUGGUAUUCUGAGUAGGAUUCAAUGACUGAAUGACUGUGACAUGCUUCAAACUCCUAGCAGGCGGGGCGUUAGUGACAGACGCAAAAGAAUCACUGGAUUCUAUUCCGGCCUGACCGAGAACCGACAGAUGAUUAGCCAUGCUGUGACAGAGCAUAGGAACAUUUUCACUGAGAGGAUGGGAGGUAGCCACUGACAACGGUGAAACCCUACAUACAGCUUGCCAUGGAAGGAGCCUUGCGUGUUUGAUGAAGAAGACAGUAGGAAAGCAGAGAUUCAGAAGAUGGAGCAUCUCCAAAGCCUCAACCUAUUCUCCAUUACUACAAAACAAGUACCUAUUUCAUGUUCUUUUGCUUUUCACAAUCAAUCCUGAUAAUUUCUGAUAUCCUGACUAAGAUUUACAAGAUAACCAUAGCUUGCUUCAAGCCGACAAUCUCCGUGGGAUCGACCCUUGCUCACGCAAGGUAUUACUUGGACGACCCAGUGUACUUGCUGGUUAGUUGUGCGGGAUUGCAAAAGUGUUAUUGCAAUUUCGUGCACCAAGUUUUUGGCGCCGUUGCCGGGGAUUGUUCGAGUUUGGACAACUGACGGCUUAUCUUGUUGCUUAGAUUAGGACUGUUUUAUUUUUGUUGGUUUAGAGUCUUUUAGUUGAGUCUAGUUUCAUAUUUCAAAUUUG
This is a long non-coding RNA of Arachis stenosperma, 3329 nucleotides long. RefSeq lists it as uncharacterized. The transcript has 3 exons. NCBI's taxonomy places the organism in Eukaryota, Viridiplantae, Streptophyta, Magnoliopsida, Fabales, Fabaceae. The record is from RefSeq and is a predicted model, not a curated record.